Molecule: small nuclear RNA, 105 nt
Organism: Panthera pardus (leopard)
Lineage: Eukaryota; Metazoa; Chordata; Mammalia; Carnivora; Felidae
Source: Ensembl
CUUGCUUCAGUGGCAACAUAUACUAGAAUUGGAACACUACUGAGGGGACUAGCACGGCCCCUGCCCAAGGAUGACACGCAAACUCGUAAAGCUUCCAUACUUCGG